CACUAAGAAGCUAAUAGGAUAUAGCAUUAGCCUUUUAAGCUAAACACAGGUGACUGCCGACCACCCUUAGUGA
This 73-nucleotide transfer RNA is filed under the name Polypterus delhezi (barred bichir). RNAcentral describes it as "tRNA-Lys". It matches the Rfam family "tRNA". From Rfam's summary of the family: Transfer RNA (tRNA) molecules are approximately 80 nucleotides in length. Their secondary structure includes four short double-helical elements and three loops (D, anti-codon, and T loops). Lineage: Eukaryota; Metazoa; Chordata; Cladistia; Polypteriformes; Polypteridae. The record is from RNAcentral.